CGGGUGAUCUCCACUACACCAUAACACUUAAUUAGGGACAGUUAACUGCCGGGAAAAGUUGCUGAAUAAGGGUAAACUAUCUUCCGGGACAUUUGUUACUGCCGGUACAUAUACUUUAGGGCACGCAAACUGCCGAUAGAACUUGAGCCGCAGGGGCAUUUACACUGCCGGUACGCCUUUCAGGCGCAUAUUCUGUCGGGACAACACAACCACGGCCCAUUUUCUGCCGGGCCUUUUUAUUUGCCGCCAAACUGAAAUAGUAUCGAGGCUAGCGCGGGAGACACCCAAAAGUUUCGCGGCCGAAGAAAUAUAGCCGCUUAGCCCAACCUCUCUUCCCCUUUGCUUAAAAAAAAACCUCUCUUCCCCAAAUCCCUCUGUAUCGACCCAGCCACUCCCGUUCCUUCCUAACCCUACUUCCCCAAAUCACAGACCCGCCGCCGCCGCCGCCCCCCACUCCACCGCCGCCCCUUCCUAACUCUACUUCUGGCCGGCCCGUUCUCCCCUUCCCUGUGCGCCGCCGCCCUACCUCUCUUCCUCCGCUGAGCUGCCAUUUCCAUGGAAGCGGCCCGGCCUGGUCAUUGCUGGAUCUGGCGGUCUGGCGCACCGGUGGUCGAUGCUGCCGGAUCUGGCCCGGGCCUCAUCAACGCCGCCCCGGUUGUUCACCUCCACAUCACCACUUCCCCCAUCGUCAUCUUGUCCGCCUCGCCCAGAUCCGCUGAGAGGGUGAGACCGGGAGAGUAGCCGCCUGUCUCCUGAGGAGUUCGUCCCCGACGGCCUCUCCAAGGACUCCCUCUUCCUCACUCCCAACGCUACACGGUGCUCUUCUUCGUGGCAUCGAGUUCAAGCAGGGUCAACCGCGAGCUGUAUCGUCAUCGAGCGUCCCUCUUCUUCGUCGGGCCUGCACCUUCUCGGGGUGCAGCCGUGCAGCACCUGCUGCUGUGGAAGACAGAUGGCGCGGUGCUGGUAGAGCUGCUCCACGUCGGCCCUGUCGAGCUCAACCACUAACUGUUCAACCACGCGCUGCACCACCAGUUCCUCUACACUCGCUACCAGUGAGCACCACAACGCCUCUAUCAUCAUCGAGCUCAUCACCUAUGGCGGUGGAUUAUAAUGCUUUGGCGAUAAUAACACCAACCUUAUAGCUAUAUCGAAUAACUCUGACACAAGGUGUAAUAUAUAAGUUCCUUCUUGGAAGAUGUUCUUUUGAGAUUGAUGUCUGGCAGGCAUUAUCUGUCUCUGCAUGUUGCAGACUCCAAUGUAUAUCUUGAGAAAGAAAUUUGCUUGAGUAACAAAGAAGUUUCCCAUAUGAUGUAUAUGGAUUACUUCUAGCAAGGAAUCAGAGCUUGGAACCACAUGCUUAUUCAUUGUUAUUGUUGGCCUAAAACUUAAUAUAUAACUGCUACUCUGCUUCUGCACUUUUGAAAGCUUAGAUUUGUUAAUAUGAUUCAGUUUCUUAAAUUAAAGCUGAUUGUGGACAUCUUUAGUGUCUCUGCCUUAUUAGGAGUGUCAUUUGAUGAUAACGUACUUGCAUUCAAGUUUUUUCGAUGGUAACACCUCCGUCAUAUUGUGAAGUUUUAUAUUAUUAUUCUUAAGAUAUUUGCAAGCCUGUCAAACUGUUUUCUCAAAAUUCCUGCCAUCUUGCAGUGACAAUCCUCAAGCUGAUAAGGAUUCAAAUUAGUUUUCCUUUUUUUGCUGGCUAGUACAGUAACUUUGUGCAUGGAACAUGAUUAUACCACUUUCUGCUGUACAAGAUAGGUACACGUACUAUUUACUGUUAAUAUUUGUACUUUGCACACUAUUUGGAUGAGAAGUAAGAUAAACUUGCUACUAUCAGUAUGAUAAAAAUGGACAUGUUCUCUACUAAAGUAGAGAUUACUCUAGAGAUGUUACUAGUUGCUCUAUGUUUCAGAACAUAUUCGGCUGUUGUAUGUGGCCAUGCGGCUGCUGUAUAUGAUUGUUGUAACAUAUUCCUGUUAAUAUUUGUACAGACUUUGCACAAUUUUGAUGAGAAGAUAAGCUUGUUACUUGUUAAGAUAAUAAAAAUGGACUUGUUCUCUACUAUAGUAGAGAUUACUCUAGAGAUGUUACUGGUUGCUCUAUAUUUCAGAAUGCUAUGCAGCUGUUGCAUGUGAUUGUUGUAACUUCUUCCUUAAGUGCUGAAUGCAACUGUUGUAUGUAACAUCUUCUGAUUUGUUGCAGGUUUCCCAAAGGUACAAGUUCACUAAGGUUUGGAAGAUCUUCAAGAUGCUGGAGAUUUGGAAUAUCUACAACUAAGAUGGAGUGAUAAUGUUGUAUGUCUUGUUUGUUGAACCUAGAGAUUUGCUCUGCCCAUUUUGGUGCUUGUUAAGCUCAUUUUGGUUGUGUGUGGCACACAUUUAGAAACAUAUGUACAUCUCCUCUUGUGGCGGUACUUUAUUCUGGUUGUGGCAAACAUAUAUGUACUCCUUUUGUGAACAACCUCCUUAUAUAUGGUCGUUUUGUUUAUGGAAUGAAGUUUAAGAUUUCGAUGAA
This is a long non-coding RNA of Aegilops tauschii subsp. strangulata, 2511 nucleotides long. RefSeq lists it as uncharacterized. The record is from RefSeq and is a predicted model, not a curated record. Lineage: Eukaryota; Viridiplantae; Streptophyta; Magnoliopsida; Poales; Poaceae.